Molecule: long non-coding RNA, 256 nt
Organism: Boleophthalmus pectinirostris (great blue-spotted mudskipper)
Lineage: Eukaryota; Metazoa; Chordata; Actinopteri; Gobiiformes; Gobiidae
Exons: 3
Source: RefSeq, a predicted model, not a curated record
CCCCUGAAAUCAUUCUGGGUUUGCCUUGGAACGAGGCCGUGGACGUGUGGUCCCUGGGGACCAUGUUUGCCGACCUGUGGUUAGGAAUUAAAUUAUUCCCCAACACCACUGAAUUUGAGGCGUUGAGAAUUAUGAUCAGACUUCGGCGCACCUCCUGAUCACAUGCUCAGUCAGGGGCGCAUGACUAAGACAUUCUUCCGCUGGGUCGACAACAGAUGGUUCCUCAAAACUCACGAGUGUAAGAUCCACUACGCAG